RNAcentral lists this ribosomal RNA (500 nucleotides) under uncultured bacterium. Its description in RNAcentral is "partial 16S ribosomal RNA". It matches the Rfam family "Bacterial small subunit ribosomal RNA", at positions 30 to 523 of the family's 1533-position model. The record is from RNAcentral.
AUUGAACGCUGGCGGAAUGCUUUACACAUGCAAGUCGAACGGCAGCACGGACUUCGGUCUGGUGGCGGGUGGCGAACGGGUGAGUAAUGUAUCGGAACGUGCCCAGUCGUGGGGGAUAACGUAGUGAAAAUUACGCUAAUACCGCAUACGAUCUAUGGAUGAAAGCGGGGGAUCGCAAGACCUCGCGCGAUUGGAGCGGCCGAUAUCAGAUUAGGUAGUUGGUGGGGUAAAGGCCCACCAAGCCAACGAUCUGUAGCUGGUCUGAGAGGACGACCAGCCACACUGGAACUGAGACACGGUCCAGACUCCUACGGGAGGCAGCAGUGGGGAAUUUUGGACAAUGGGCGAGAGCCUGAUCCAGCCAUUCCGCGUGCAGGAUGAAGGCCCUCGGGUUGUAAACUGCUUUUGUACAGAACGAAAAGGUUUCUACUAAUACUAGGAGCUCAUGACGGUACUGUAAGAAUAAGCACCGGCUAACUACGUGCCAGCAGCCGCGGUAA